ACGUAGGGGACAAGCGUUGUCCGGAAUGACUGGGCGUAAAGGGCGCGUAGGCGGUCUGAUAAGUCAGAUGUGAAAGGUACCGGCUCAACCGGUGACGUGCAUUUGAAACUGUCAGACUUGAGUAUUGGAGAGGCAAGUGGAAUUCCUAGUGUAGCGGUGAAAUGCGUAGAUAUUAGGAGGAACACCAGUGGCGAAGGCGGCUUGCUGGACAAAUACUGACGCUGAGGUGCGAAAGCGUGGGGAGCGAACAG
This 251-nucleotide ribosomal RNA is filed under the name uncultured bacterium. Its description in RNAcentral is "partial 16S ribosomal RNA". It matches the Rfam family "Bacterial small subunit ribosomal RNA", at positions 525 to 775 of the family's 1533-position model. The record is from RNAcentral.